This 894-nucleotide long non-coding RNA is filed under the name Olea europaea (common olive). RNAcentral describes it as "long non-coding RNA (OEUR_LNC011239)". Lineage: Eukaryota; Viridiplantae; Streptophyta; Magnoliopsida; Lamiales; Oleaceae. The record is from RNAcentral.
UUUUAUAUGCCCAAAAAAAUUGACAAACCCAAAACCUCUCAUUACAAACGUUGAAGCAAAUCUACUUACUCGACGAUUGAAAAACCCGUCCCUGAAUUCAUCAUGCCGACGUUUCAACGAUUGGGAAGGAAAAGUUCACGAAAAGGACUUCCCAUCUCACUUACCUAACAUUGAAGUAAAAACCUAGCAAUAAGUGGAGAAAAAUCGUUUGCUGAGUCCAUCCCGCGGACGAACGUUUGGUUGGAAAUGGAUAAUUGCAAUCGGCAAAAUUGUGGACGAUUUGGGAAAGGAAAAUAGCAAAUGAUUGAGCCUGCUCCCGCAUCUCAUAUUUGGCUCUUGCUUCGAGUCCUCUACAGUCGACCGCAAAUUGCAGCUCAAGCCCUAAAAAAGUGAUAAGGUUAGUACAUUAAAAGUUUUGAUGUAGUAAUUUUUCUUCUCGUCUAAUGACUCUAUUCUAUAAAUUAUGAUUUGAGCCUUUUGUGAAUGAUGAACACAUGAUUUUAUGAAUCCAAAAACUUGUGAUUUGUCAUUUUUGAGAGGUUGAAUUAAUUUGCUUCCGUAACUUGUUGGUCAUUUUGACACUCUAACUCUAUUGAAAUUGUGAUUUUGUCAACAUAUGAUUUGUAAAUUUGUUUUGGAUAAUUGAUUUAUGUUUUGUGUUUGUGAUAUGAGAGAUUUGGGUUUGGGAACUUCUUUAAAAUUUCGAAAUAGAGGUGGUGAUUGUGUAUUACAGGAUCAUAUAUGUUUACCUUCUUACUAGUGAUUAUGUUUAGACUUCCAAGUUUUUUCACUUGGAAGUGAAAAUAUUUACAUUUUAAACCGAAUAAUAUUUCCAAUUAUAGGUUGCAUGCCUUGUGGAGAUCUUUGAAUCAAUCUCAUGUCUUUAACCCGAAU